RNAcentral lists this ribosomal RNA (388 nucleotides) under uncultured bacterium. Its description in RNAcentral is "partial 16S ribosomal RNA". It matches the Rfam family "Bacterial small subunit ribosomal RNA", at positions 523 to 918 of the family's 1533-position model. The record is from RNAcentral.
AUACGUAGGUGGCAAGCGUUAUCCGGAAUUAUUGGGCGUAAAGAGUGAGCAGGCGGUUAAUUAAGUCUGAGGUUAAAGCGUGGGGCUCAACCCCAUAAAGCCUUGGAAACUGAUUGACUAGAGUACGGGAGAAGUGAAGGGAACUCCAUGUGUAGCGGUGAAAUGCGUAGAUAUAUGGAAGAACACCAGUGGCGAAGGCGCUUCACUAGCCCGGAACUGACGCUCAGUCACGAAAGCGUGGGUAGCAAAUAGGAUUAGAUACCCUAGUAGUCCACGCUGUAAACGAUGACAACUAAAUAUUGCCGCGAGGCAGUGUUGAAGCUAACGCAUUAAGUUGUCCGCCUGGGGAGUACGGUCGCAAGACUGAAACUUAAAGGAAUUGGCGGGG